GACGAACGCUGGCGGCGUGCUUAACACAUGCAAGUCGAACGGAAAGGCCCUGCUUUUGUGGGGUGCUCGAGUGGCGAACGGGUGAGUAACACGUGAGUAACCUGCCCUUGACUUUGGGAUAACUUCAGGAAACUGGGGCUAAUACCGGAUAGGAGCUCCUGCUGCAUGGUGGGGGUUGGAAAGUUUCGGCGGUUGGGGAUGGACUCGCGGCUUAUCAGCUUGUUGGUGGGGUAGUGGCUUACCAAGGCUUUGACGGGUAGCCGGCCCGAGAGGGUGACCGGCCACAUUGGGACUGAGAGACGGCCCAGACUCCUACGGGAGGCAGCAGUGGGGAAUAUUGCACAAUGGGCGGAAGCCUGAUGCAGCAACGCCGCGUGCGGGAUGACGGCCUUCGGGUUGUAAACCGCUUUCGCCUGUGACGAAGCGUGAGUGACGGUAAUGGGUAAAGAAGCACCGGCUAACUACGU
Molecule: ribosomal RNA, 467 nt
Filed under: uncultured bacterium
Lineage: Bacteria
Description: partial 16S ribosomal RNA
Rfam family: Bacterial small subunit ribosomal RNA
Source: RNAcentral